UCUUUGUACACAGUGCACCAUUUUGAAUUUCAUGACCAUGGUUGUUUUAAGCACAUGAAAUAGGUGAACUUUGGUUUUUAUUUCGUUUGAUUUCGUGCACUAUAGAGGAAGAUGUGUGUUGCUGAAGUUUGAAAAAUGUGUUUGAUUUUGGGGAGGAAGAUGGUGCCAGGGCGCGCGCAUUUUAGGUUUAAAAUUAUUGUUUUGUUUAUUUUGACUUGGAAGCAAGCUUGUGUCACCAAGUGACUCACGGCCCAGUGGUGGGCGCGCUGAGUUGAAUUGCCAAGGGGAGGGGUUCGAAUCCCAUCUCCCCCAUUUGUGUUUUUCUCUUUCUUUCUUUGUUUAAAAAGUGCAUUUUUUUUAAUGUUUUCUUUUAACAAUUUCCAUUUCGAUUUUCAUUUUUGAUUCUUGUUUUACUUAACAUGAAAUAAAUAUGUGAACAUGAAAAAUGACAAAAAAUAUGAGUAUUUGACUUUGUUGACUUUUUUAGACCAUUUUGUGAAUUUAUCCCGAUUUUAUGAGUUCUAUUGAUUAAAUCUCAUCUUGUGUGUUUCAUGUGGUUAUUUUGAUCUUUCAGACCUGGGAUUUUUAUGUGAAAUCAAUUUAGGGUAGGAACAUGUCCCCUUAGACACUUAGGAUAAUU
RNAcentral lists this long non-coding RNA (640 nucleotides) under Lathyrus oleraceus (garden pea). RNAcentral describes it as "Pisum sativum (pea) long non-coding RNA (PSAT_LNC025844)". The record is from RNAcentral. Lineage: Eukaryota; Viridiplantae; Streptophyta; Magnoliopsida; Fabales; Fabaceae.